Molecule: ribosomal RNA, 119 nt
Filed under: Triticum dicoccoides
Lineage: Eukaryota; Viridiplantae; Streptophyta; Magnoliopsida; Poales; Poaceae
Source: RNAcentral
GGAUCCGAUCAUACCAGCAGUAAAGCACCGGAUCCCAUCAGAACUCCGAAGUUAAGCGUGCUUGGGCGAGAGUAGUACUAGGAUGGGUGACCUCCUGGGAAGUCCUCGUGUUGCAUUCC